UCGAUCACAAAAGUCUGCGUCGAUCGAUGGUGCUGAUGGCGAUCGAUUUUGAGGUAGUGGUGGUGGUUGAUGUUGAGGUCGUGGUGUUGAUCGAUGCUGACCUCGUGUCACUAAUGUCGGCUUCUUCUACUCUGAUCAGCUCUCCAGAUCCAUGUUGUUCAUCAUCCUCUGCCAUAAUGUAGUUGACCAGUUGUCUUGGAAUCAGAUCUUCCCUCUUUAUCUGCCAACUUUCAAUGAGCAUGUCCCCCU
RNAcentral lists this long non-coding RNA (249 nucleotides) under Brassica napus (rape). Its description in RNAcentral is "long non-coding RNA (BNAP_LNC024038)". Lineage: Eukaryota; Viridiplantae; Streptophyta; Magnoliopsida; Brassicales; Brassicaceae. The record is from RNAcentral.